This 1374-nucleotide unclassified non-coding RNA is filed under the name Metazoa environmental sample. Its description in RNAcentral is "sequence contains 18S rRNA gene, ITS1, 5.8S rRNA gene, ITS2, 28S rRNA gene". The stretch from base 389 to 1374 matches the Rfam family "Eukaryotic large subunit ribosomal RNA", at positions 1 to 961 of the family's 3401-position model. Lineage: Eukaryota; Metazoa. The record is from RNAcentral.
GGAAGGAUCAUUCACACAAAUCGAUCCAAUACGUAGCCUCUGAUUCAGAGCUGCCGUCGGUAGCAAAUAUGUCGGCCAACUUCCAAUGAACAUAGCAUCAGCGAUUAACGUCUUGGUUCCCACCUCGAUGAAGGACGCAGCAAAUUGCGAUAUCCAAUGUAAAUUGCAGGACUCUGUGAAGUAUCAGAAUGCUGAAUGUAACAAACUCUCAUUGGUUCACCAUUGAGUGCACUUGCUUCAGUGUGGUCUGCAACAAUCUUAAGAUCAUGAAGGCAUGGGAGUUAUGUACCAUAAUUUUUGCAUAUCACCCAAGUUGGAAUGAAGAAAGUGCAGCUAAUAGUGAGUUACUCAUGUGAAGGUGACGAAUGGCUGUAAAAAAUUGUAUUCAACACCUGAAAUGAAGUGGGGCCACCUGCUGAAUUUAAGCAUAUCAGUUUGCAGUGGAAGAGAAACUAACUAAGAUUCCCUUAUUAAUGGCGAAUGAACUGGGAAGAACUCACCCUGGAAAUCAGGAGCAUUCGUUCCUGAAUUGUAGUCUUACAAGUUGUUUCCAGUGAAAGCGCAUUAGGACAUUUCUUGGAAUGGAGUUGCAUAGACAGUGAAAUGCUCGUUCCCAAUGCAGACUUUCACGUACGGUACAUACUUGAAGAGUCGUGUUUCUUUGAAGUGAAACGCCAAAAGGAAGGUAGACAUCUUCUUAGGUUACAUACUUGUGGGAAACUGAUAGAAAAUAAGUACCGUGAGGGAAAGAUGAAAAGGACUUUGAGAAAAGAGUUAAAAUGGCUUGAAACCGCUGAAACGUAAGCGUAGGGAAACAGUAACGUCGAGAAAACGGCUUUCUUAAAGUAGUUGGUAGCAAUUCUAUCUGAGACUGCAACCAAUCGAUGCAAAGAAGGGAGUUCUUCUCGAUUGUGAGCAAUAGCGUUUGGUCAGGGUUAAAACAUGACAUCAAAAGGUAGGUCAUUUUGACUGGAAUAUCCUGUUACGUCAUCCUUGACGAUUGAUAAAUGGUGUGGCACGAGCUGUACUUUCGAGGACUUCUGCCACUAUAUGUUGAUGAAGUAUUUCUUUUCGACCCGUCUUGAAACACGGACCAAGGAGUCUAACAAGUGUGCAUGUAUGUACUGCUAAAUAGGUAUGCGUAAUGAAAGUGAGUGUGAAGAUUGUUGAAUUAGCAACCAACCACUUCUGUGCUGCAGAGGUUGAGUAGAAGCAUAUUUGUUAGAACCCGAAAGAUGGUGAGCUAUGCUUGAGUAGGAUGAAGUCAGAGGAAACUCUGAUGGAGGUCCGUAGCGAUACUGACGUGCAAAUCGUUCGUCUAACUUGAGUAUAGGGGCGAAAGACUAAUCGAACCAUCUAGUAGCUGGUUCUCUC